CUACCAUGCAGUCGAGCGGCCGUAUCAUACGGCAGCGGCAGACGGGAGAGUAUCACGUGGGAACGCGCCCUUCGGUUCGGAAUAACUCAGGGAAACUUGGGCUAAUACCGGAUACGCCCUUACGGGGAAAGAUUUAUUGCCGAAGGAACGGCCCGCGUCCGAUUAGCUUGUUGGUGAGGUAACGGCUCACCAAGGCGACGAUCGGUAGCUGGUCUGAGAGGAUGACCAGCCUCACUGGGACUGAGACACGGCCCAGACUCCUACGGGAGGCAGCAGUGGG
Molecule: ribosomal RNA, 280 nt
Filed under: uncultured Hyphomicrobiales bacterium
Lineage: Bacteria; Pseudomonadati; Pseudomonadota; Alphaproteobacteria; Hyphomicrobiales
Description: uncultured Rhizobiales bacterium partial 16S ribosomal RNA
Rfam family: Bacterial small subunit ribosomal RNA
Source: RNAcentral